This 1128-nucleotide ribosomal RNA is filed under the name uncultured bacterium. Its description in RNAcentral is "bacterial SSU rRNA". It matches the Rfam family "Bacterial small subunit ribosomal RNA", at positions 1 to 1133 of the family's 1533-position model. The record is from RNAcentral.
CUAGUAACGGCCGCCAGUGUGCUGGAAUUCGCCCUUCAGGCCUAACACAUGCAAGUCGAGGGGCAGCACAGGUAGCAAUACCGGGUGGCGACCGGCGCACGGGUGAGUAACGCGUAUGCAACUUACCUAUCAGAGGGGGAUAACCCGGCGAAAGUCGGACUAAUACCGCAUGAAGCAGGGGCCCCGCAUGGGGAUAUUUGCUAAAGAUUCAUCGCUGAUAGAUAGGCAUGCGUUCCAUUAGGCAGUUGGCGGGGUAACGGCCCACCAAACCGACGAUGGAUAGGGGUUCUGAGAGGAAGGUCCCCCACAUUGGUACUGAGACACGGACCAAACUCCUACGGGAGGCAGCAGUGAGGAAUAUUGGUCAAUGGGCGCGAGCCUGAACCAGCCAAGUCGCGUGAGGGAUGAAGGUUCUAUGGAUCGUAAACCUCUUUUAUAAGGGAAUAAAGUGUGGGACGUGUCCUAUUUUGUAUGUACCUUAUGAAUAAGGAUCGGCUAACUCCGUGCCAGCAGCCGCGGUAAUACGGAGGAUCCGAGCGUUAUCCGGAUUUAUUGGGUUUAAAGGGUGCGUAGGCGGCCUUUUAAGUCAGCGGUGAAAGUCUGUGGCUCAACCAUAGAAUUGCCGUUGAAACUGGGAGGCUUGAGUAUGUUUGAGGCAGGCGGAAUGCGUGGUGUAGCGGUGAAAUGCUUAGAUAUCACGCAGAACCCCGAUUGCGAAGGCAGCCUGCCAAGCCAUGACUGACGCUGAUGCACGAAAGCGUGGGGAUCAAACAGGAUUAGAUACCCUGGUAGUCCACGCAGUAAACGAUGAUCACUAGCUGUUUGCGAUACAUUGUAAGCGGCACAGCGAAAGCGUUAAGUGAUCCACCUGGGGAGUACGCCGGCAACGGUGAAACUCAAAGGAAUUGACGGGGGCCCGCACAAGCGGAGGAACAUGUGGUUUAAUUCGAUGAUACGCGAGGAACCUUACCCGGGUUUGAACGCAUUCGGACCGAGGUGGAAACACCUUUUCUAGCAAUAGCCGUUUGCGAGGUGCUGCAUGGUUGUCGUCAGCUCGUGCCGUGAGGUGUCGGCUUAAGUGCCAUAACGAGCGCAACCCUUGCCACUAGUUACUAACAGGUUAGGCUG